RNAcentral lists this ribosomal RNA (729 nucleotides) under uncultured bacterium. Its description in RNAcentral is "bacterial SSU rRNA". It matches the Rfam family "Bacterial small subunit ribosomal RNA", at positions 94 to 819 of the family's 1533-position model. The record is from RNAcentral.
AGCGGCGGACGGGUGAGUAAUGCUUAGGAAUAUGCCUUAUAGUGGGGGACAACAUUUGGAAAGGAAUGCUAAUACCGCAUGAUUUCUACGGGCGAAAGCAGGGGACCUUCGGGCCUCGCGCUAUCAGAUGAGCCCAAGUGGGAUUAGCUAGUUGGUGAGGUAAUGGCUCACCAAGGCGACGAUCCGUAGCUGGUUUGAGAGGAUGAUCAGUCACACUGGGACUGAGACACGGUCCAGACUCCUACGGGAGGCAGCAGUGGGGAAUAUUGCACAAUGGGCGCAAGCCUGAUGCAGCCAUGCCGCGUGUGUGAAGAAGGUCUUCGGGUUGUAAAGCACUUUCAGUAAGGAGGAAAGGCUUUGUUUUAAUAGCUUUGAGUUGUGACGUUACUGACAGAAGAAGCACCGGCUAACUUCGUGCCAGCAGCCGCGGUAAUACGGAGGGUGCGAGCGUUAAUCGGAAUUACUGGGCGUAAAGCGUGCGCAGGUGGUUUGUUAAGUGAGAUGUGAAAGCCCCGGGCUCAACCUGGGAACUGCAUUCAGAACUGGCAAACUAGAGUGUGACAGAGGGUGGUGGAAUUUCCUGUGUAGCGGUGAAAUGCGUAGAUAUCUGAAGGAACACCGAUGGCGAAGGCAACCACCUGGGUCAAUACUGACACUCAUGUGCGAAAGCGUGGGGAGCAAACAGGAUUAGAUACCCUGGUAGUCCACGCCGUAAACGAUGUCUACUAG